ACACAACGAAAACUUCUACUGUACUUUAUGAAUUGUUGUAUAAUAGUAAAAUUCUGAGCACACGAAUUAUAAUAAAAUAUAUGAUAAAAAUAAAUUUUUUUUCUGUUUAAAACCAAUUAAUAUAUGCAAACAUACACACAUAUGUGCGUAUAUGAAAAGCAUACGUAAAAAGUAGGAAUUCUUAAUGAAAACAAAAGUAUGUGUGAACAAAAUAGAGACAUACAUAUAGAUAUGUAUAUAUCGACAAACCCCUAGCAAGGUGUCUAAUAAAUAAUCAUACAUGUGUAUAUAUAUGUAUAAAUGAUCGAAUUAAUCUUUGCAUAUAUCCAAAACACACCAAGCAACAUUACAUCAACACUUACCAUUAAGACGCGCCUUCUCCGGUCCUCUAUCGUUCAAAGAUGAAGUGGCCGUAAGGACAGCAUGCUCCAUAAGUGGUUGAUUACAAUCGUAAUCAGAGAAGUAAUCGCUAUAGGAAUCUGAAAACAAGCAAAAUUAUAAAAUUUACAUCAAGGAAAUAAAAUGUGAAAUAUGUAGUCUAGACCACAUAUAUAUUUUGACCCACAUUCAUAUAAACAAGUUUCCUUUUCUGGCACUUAUCCAGCUGAAGUUGUCAGUUAUUGUAAUUAAGUUUUCAUAGCUGCUAUUUUUGUUUAAUUAAAAGGAAUUGGACCAUGCUCUCAUAUUUCUCAUCUUGAAUAAAAAUAGCAAGAAGAAUUUAGUGUUUUUACUGCAACCUACAUACAAGCCAGUAAACUUUUGAUUUUGACAAGUAAGCAGGCACGUCAUGCUAUGCUCUUUUACUUUUCAUUUUAACAAGUAAACAGAAACGCCAUGCAAUGAGCCUACUAGCAACACCCUACCUUCGAUUGCGAAAUAAACCACCCUUUGUUGUUGAGUGGUGCUGACAAUCUGGCUGUCGCCGUGCCUGUGUAUACUGUUUGGUUUAUUUUGUGCUCAUGCAGCCUUAUCCUGGCUAAGUGCCACUACUGAAGUAAGACUAACCAAAGUAUAAUGCAACAAUUUUUAUAUGUACGUGGGACUUAAGCUUUAUUUACUGUUGAAUUUCACUAAACUAGUACCU
Bactrocera oleae (olive fruit fly) is the source of this 1084-nucleotide long non-coding RNA. RefSeq lists it as uncharacterized. The record is from RefSeq and is a predicted model, not a curated record. Lineage: Eukaryota; Metazoa; Arthropoda; Insecta; Diptera; Tephritidae.